Non-coding RNA from Pelobates cultripes (western spadefoot toad), 258 nucleotides. NCBI's taxonomy places the organism in Eukaryota, Metazoa, Chordata, Amphibia, Anura, Pelobatidae. The record is from the annotation of a GenBank genome assembly.
GCGGGGGGACCACCCUAAGGCCAGACUAAUGUCAAUGCCUUAUUGAGAAGCCUUUUUACCACAUAGCCGUUGACAUUGUGGGUCCCUUAGCCAGACCUAGUCCAUCCGGGAAGAAGUACAUUCUUAUCAUGGUGGACUAUGCCACACAUUACCCAGAGGCAGUAGCACUGUCCAAUAUUGGCAGAAACUGUAGAGGUAUGCACAUGCAAAAUCCUGGAAGCCAUCGAGUAGCCUUUCCACCAUACGUUGGAAGGUAGC